This is a non-coding RNA of Vombatus ursinus (common wombat), 571 nucleotides long. NCBI's taxonomy places the organism in Eukaryota, Metazoa, Chordata, Mammalia, Diprotodontia, Vombatidae. The record is from the annotation of a RefSeq genome assembly.
ACAGGUGACACACUUUAGUGGGAGAAGCCUGUAGAAGACCUGUCAGUUUCAGCUAUCAUUGAUAGAAGGACAACCAAUGAAGAUGCUACUGGGAACCUUAUUAGUCAUUCUAUGGCUACAGCUGGCCUGGGUGAGUACUCAACAGCUGAAUCAGAGUCCUCAGUCCAUAAGCAUUCAGGAAGGAGAAGACUUUAUCAUGAACUGCAGUUCCUCGACCAAUGUGCCCGCUCUACACUGGUAUAGACAGGAUCCUGGGAAAGGUCUUACCUUCUUGAUGGCAUUGAUUAAGGGGAAAGAACUGAAGCGUCAGGGGAAAAUAACUGCUCAGCUUGAUGAAAAAAAGCAGCACAGCUUCCUGCUCAUCACAGGAACUCAGCUCAGAGACUCAGCCAGAUACUUUUGUGCUUAUGACACAGUGUCUCCUAAACACCUGAUGCCUAUACAUAAACCAUUCAAGUGGGACUCUAGCUGCACGAUGUGCCAGGGAUGCUCCUGCGAUAAAAGUAGAAUAUUUCUCAAAAGGAUAUGCUUUGUAGGAAAGAAAUAUAGGGAGCUGAAUACAAGAAUAUGA